This is a microRNA precursor of Homo sapiens (human), 90 nucleotides long. Lineage: Eukaryota; Metazoa; Chordata; Mammalia; Primates; Hominidae. The record is from Ensembl.
AACAAAUAAUUUGGUAAUAUAUGUAUGGCCCACACAAUAUUUAGGACAACAAUAUUUGGGACAUACUUAUGCUAAAAAAGUAUUUGUUGA